Long non-coding RNA from Zonotrichia leucophrys gambelii, 1604 nucleotides. RefSeq lists it as uncharacterized. Lineage: Eukaryota; Metazoa; Chordata; Aves; Passeriformes; Passerellidae. The transcript has 4 exons. The record is from RefSeq and is a predicted model, not a curated record.
CUGGAGAGUAACGUUAGGAGGUUUACACACUUGUGCAAGAUGAUAUAAAGCUGGGAGCGGUUGCUGAUACUCCAGAGUGUUGUGCUGCCAUUCAGCGGGUCUUGACAAACUGGAGAAAUGGUGACCAGGAACCACACAAUGUUCACCAAAGGGAAGGAGACUUGGUGUUAAAUGCUGUCUACAGAACAUUUCAUCUUCAGCCUUUUCAACAGAGAUGUCUUUCUCUCUGUGGGAAAUGUGACUAAAAUCAAAGAGUCCGUAAUUGAGGACAAGACCACAAAGAAAGUAGCAGAGAAAAUGAAGGUAUCAAGAAGAAAAGAGACACAUGGGUGAACGAGAAAAGAGAGAAGCUUAACAGCUUUGGUGCAAAGCUGCCAGAAGUUUGACUGACAGGUGAAAGCAGCUCAAGAGACCUGCCUUUUUGAUAAGGACAAAUGAAGAUAUUUUAGGAUUUGAAGUGUAGGUAAUUUUUCAAACGUUGCUUUUAUUACAAAGCUGGACUGGUUAAGACAAACAUGCAGUCCUGGGGGGAUGAUGAUGCUAGAUCAUAUGAGUCAGAUUCUGCCCUCAGAAAUAGUUCUGUAGGCAAGCAUAAGCCAAAUGUAAAAAGUGUGAUUAGAUGCUAAAUUUCAUGCUAAAGAGGAAAAAAAUAGAGUAACUGCCAGCUGUGGAUAAAGUUUUGCAAAUCUCAGUACUCAAGCAAAGUAACUAAAACAUCUGUCAGUGAGGAUUCUCCCAGAGUCCACUAGAUAAUUAGGCAGAGCAAACAAUUAAACAUAAGUCUUAAAUCAUGUCACGGUAUUUUCCUCUGGUUAGGGUGACAUUUGUUUAACACACUUAAGUUUCUCCUAACAAAGUUAGGAAACUAUUACUAGUUUCCAUCAGUGAAUCUGAUUCCGCAUAUGCCUUUGUAAUAAGUAAGUUCACUUGUAGUUCUUGCUCCUUAGUUUUUCUAUUGGUAUAGAUUUUAAUAAUGCAUCAAGAAGUAAUUCCAGUCUAACAAAAACAGAUCAGCAACAGAAAUACUUUCAUUUUAUUGAAAUAGUUGUACUAGAGUAUUGUGUGCUUGACUAUGAAUCAGCUCAAAUUCACUAUCAAGUCUGUAUAAACUAGUAAGAGGUAUCACCUAUUCUGUCAAGUCUACCCUCAUAUCUGGACUUGUUUCCUACACAGAGCCAUCAGAUUCCUGGCUUGGGAAUCUCUAAUACCCUUCCCAACUGUUUGGUAACAUCCCAAGUUCUAUUCUAUUUUCCAUGGCAAAAGCCUGAAGGGGAACAAAACCCAGGAGUUAAAAGCUACAAGUCCAGCAAUGAGAUGUAGUGUCAGAGGUACCGUAUAGUGAAAUGUCCAAAGUGACUAUUUUAGUACUUAAAAUAUUGGUGAAAUUUUAGAUCUGAUUCUGUGGAUGCUUCACUCUUAGAAAAGAUGUGGGCCAGAGCUGGACAGAGUUCAGAAAAAAAGAAAUAGAAAGAUAGAGAUUUUAAAAAAUCAUGUCCUAUGAGUUGAAGGCAGUGUGAUGUUUAGUCUAGAGAAGACUGAGGAGAGGUGUGAUAACAAUGUUUGCUAAUUUUAAGAGAUACUCCAAGGAGGAAGGGAAUAAUGAU